This 222-nucleotide long non-coding RNA is filed under the name Gossypium barbadense (sea-island cotton). RNAcentral's name for it is "long non-coding RNA (GBAR_LNC015554)". Lineage: Eukaryota; Viridiplantae; Streptophyta; Magnoliopsida; Malvales; Malvaceae. The record is from RNAcentral.
AUAGUUCGCCCAAAAUAGCGAUCGUGAAAGUCGGUAAGGCAGUAGAGCUAAAAAUCAGCAGGAGUAAGACAUAAGAAAUGACGGUCAAAGUGUGCUAAACAUAUGGUCGAAACCAUUCAUUUUCAUCACUGCUCACUCAAGCCAUAAAUGGGUUUGCUCACACAAGCUGACGGUCAAAGUGUAGCUACACGAUGCCGCUCACAUAAGCUGACGAGUAUCCGC